This 253-nucleotide ribosomal RNA is filed under the name uncultured bacterium. Its description in RNAcentral is "partial 16S ribosomal RNA". It matches the Rfam family "Bacterial small subunit ribosomal RNA", at positions 524 to 776 of the family's 1533-position model. The record is from RNAcentral.
UACAGAGGGUGCAAGCGUUGUUCGGAAUUAUUGGGCGUAAAGGGCGCGUAGGCGGUGCGGUAAGUCUGUAGUGAAAUCUCUGGGCUCAACUCAGAGUCUGCUAUAAAAACUGCCGUGCUUGAGUGUGGGAGAGGUGAGUGGAAUUCCCGGUGUAGCGGUGAAAUGCGUAGAUAUCGGAAGGAACACCUGUGGCGAAAGCGGCUCACUGGACCAUUACUGACGCUGAUGCACGAAAGCUAGGGGAGCAAACAGG